Molecule: ribosomal RNA, 492 nt
Filed under: uncultured bacterium
Lineage: Bacteria
Description: partial 16S ribosomal RNA
Rfam family: Bacterial small subunit ribosomal RNA
Source: RNAcentral
AGUGAACGCUGGCGGUAGGCCUAACACAUGCAAGUCGAACGGCAGCACAGUAAGAGCUUGCUCUUACGGGUGGCGAGUGGCGGACGGGUGAGGAAUACAUCGGAAUCUACUUUUUCGCGGGGGAUAACGUAGGGAAACUUACGCUAAUACCGCAUACGACCUACGGGUGAAAGCAGGGGAUCUUCGGACCUUGCGCGAUUGAAUGAGCCGAUGUCGGAUUAGCUAGGUGGCGGGGUAAAGGCGCACCAAGGCGACGAUCCGUAGUUGGUCUGAGAGGAUGACUAGCCACCCUGGAACUGAGACACGGUCCAGACUCCUACGGGAGGCAGCGGUGGGGAAUAUUGGACAAUGGGCCCAAGCCUGAUCCAGCCAUACCGCGUGGGUGAAGAAGGCCUUCGGGUUGUAAAGCCCUUUUGUUGGGAAAGAAAAGCAGCAGGUUAAUACCCCGCUGUUCUGACGGUACCCAAAGAAUAAGCACCGGCUAACUUCGUG